GCGAACGGGUGAGUAACAUACCCUUUCCUGCCCUGCCUCCUGGGACCUGGAAAAACGGGGUCUACCCUACGAUACUGCCGCUUGGGCAUCCAAUUGGUUCGAAAGCUCCGGCGGUGCAUGAUGAGCCCGCGGCCUAUCACUUGUUGGUGAGGUAAUGGCUCACCAAGGCGACCACCGGUAGCCGGCCUGAGAGGGCGACCGGCCACACUGGGACUGAGACACGGCCCAAACUCCUACGGGAGGCACCAGUGGGGAAUAUUGCACAAUGGGCGAAGGCCUGAUGCAUCGACUCCCCGUGAGGGAUGACGGCCUUCGGGUUGUAAACCUCUUUCAGCAGGGAACAAGCGAAAGUGACGGUACCUGCACAAGAAACGCCGGCUAACUACAUGCCAGCACCCGCGGUAAUACGUAAGGCGCGAGCGUUGUCCGGAAUUAUUGGGCGUAAAGAGCUCGUAGGCGGCUUGUCACAUCUGUUGUGAAAACCCGGGGCUUAACCCCGGGUCUGCAUCGAUACGGUCAGGCUAGAGUUCGGUAGGGGAGAUCGGAAUUCCUGGUGUACCGGUGAAAUGCGCAAUAUCAGGAGGAACACCGGUGGCGAAGGCGGAUCUCUGGGCCGAUACUGACGCUGAGAACGAAAGGUGGGAGCGAACAAUAAUACCCUGUAUCCAAUAAACGGUGGGCACUAGUGUGGGGCUACAUACUACUCCGUCCGUGCCGCAGCUCACACAUU
RNAcentral lists this ribosomal RNA (730 nucleotides) under Streptomyces tunisiensis. RNAcentral describes it as "bacterial SSU rRNA". It matches the Rfam family "Bacterial small subunit ribosomal RNA", at positions 98 to 861 of the family's 1533-position model. Lineage: Bacteria; Bacillati; Actinomycetota; Actinomycetes; Kitasatosporales; Streptomycetaceae. The record is from RNAcentral.